GCGCGGGGACGACCCUGCGCCUUCACCUCUUUCGGACGGGACGACCCGG
RNAcentral lists this non-coding RNA (49 nucleotides) under Devosia sp. Its description in RNAcentral is "Guanidine-II sequence". It matches the Rfam family "Guanidine-II riboswitch aptamer (mini-ykkC)". Rfam says of the family: Simpler in structure and has fewer highly conserved nucleotide positions than the ykkC-yxkD leader. Despite this each of its two stem-loop structures directly bind free guanidine. The record is from RNAcentral. Lineage: Bacteria; Pseudomonadati; Pseudomonadota; Alphaproteobacteria; Hyphomicrobiales; Devosiaceae.